GACGAACGCUGGCGGCGUGCUUAACACAUGCAAGUCGAACGGAAAGGCCCUGCUUUUGUGGGGUGCUCGAGUGGCGAACGGGUGAGUAACACGUGAGUAACCUGCCCUUGACUUUGGGAUAACUUCAGGAAACUGGGGCUAAUACCGGAUAGGAGCUCCUGCUGCAUGGUGGGGGUUGGAAAGUUUCGGCGGUUGGGGAUGGACUCGCGGCUUAUCAGCUUGUUGGUGGGGGAGUGGCUUACCAAGGCUUUGACGGGUAGCCGGCCUGAGAGGGUGACCGGCCACAUUGGGACUGAGAUACGGCCCAGACUCCUACGGGAGGCAGCAGUGGGGAAUAUUGCACAAUGGGCGGAAGCCUGAUGCAGCAACGCCGUGUGCGGGAUGACGGCCUUCGGGUUGUAAACCGCUUUCGCCUGUGACGAAGCGUGAGUGACGGUAAUGGGUAAAGAAGCACCGGCUAACUACGUG
Molecule: ribosomal RNA, 468 nt
Filed under: uncultured bacterium
Lineage: Bacteria
Description: partial 16S ribosomal RNA
Rfam family: Bacterial small subunit ribosomal RNA
Source: RNAcentral